Molecule: ribosomal RNA, 516 nt
Filed under: uncultured bacterium
Lineage: Bacteria
Description: partial 16S ribosomal RNA
Rfam family: Bacterial small subunit ribosomal RNA
Source: RNAcentral
UGGGGAAUUUUGGACAAUGGGCGAAAGCCUGAUCCAGCAAUGCCGCGUGUGUGAAGAAGGCCUUCGGGUUGUAAAGCACUUUUGUCCGGAAAGAAAUGGCUCUGGUUAAUACCUGGGGUCGAUGACGGUACCGGAAGAAUAAGGACCGGCUAACUACGUGCCAGCAGCCGCGGUAAUACGUAGGGUCCAAGCGUUAAUCGGAAUUACUGGGCGUAAAGCGUGCGCAGGCGGUUGUGCAAGACCGAUGUGAAAUCCCCGAGCUUAACUUGGGAAUUGCAUUGGUGACUGCACGGCUAGAGUGUGUCAGAGGGGGGUUAGAAUUCCACGUGUAGCAGUGAAAUGCGUAGAGAUGUGGAGGGAAUACCGAUGGGCGAAGGCAGCCCCCUGGGAAUAACACUGACGCUCAUGCACGAAAGCGUGGGGAGCAAACAGGAUUAGAUACCCUGGUAGUCCACGCCCUAAAGCGAUGUCAACUAGUUGUUGGGGAUUCAUUUCCUUAGUAACGUAGCUAACGCG